This 426-nucleotide ribosomal RNA is filed under the name uncultured Pseudomonadaceae bacterium. Its description in RNAcentral is "bacterial SSU rRNA". It matches the Rfam family "Bacterial small subunit ribosomal RNA", at positions 356 to 774 of the family's 1533-position model. The record is from RNAcentral. Lineage: Bacteria; Pseudomonadati; Pseudomonadota; Gammaproteobacteria; Pseudomonadales; Pseudomonadaceae.
GGGGAAUAUUGGACAAUGGGCGAAAGCCUGAUCCAGCCAUGCCGCGUGUGUGAAGAAGGUCUUCGGAUUGUAAAGCACUUUAAGUUGGGAGGAAGGGCUGCAAGUUAAUACCUUGUAGUUUUGACGUUACCAGCAGAAUAAGCACCGGCUAACUUCGUGCCAGCAGCCGCGGUAAUACGAAGGGUGCAAGCGUUAAUCGGAAUUACUGGGCGUAAAGCGCGCGUAGGUGGUUUGGUAAGAUGGAUGUGAAAUCCCCGGGCUCAACCUGGGAACUGAAUCCAUAACGGCUGGAUUAGAUUAGGGUAGAGGGUGGUGGAAUUUCCUGUGUAGGGGUGAAAUGCGUAGAUAUAGGAAGAAAAACAAGUGGGGAAGGCGACCACCUGGACUGAUACUGACACUGAGGGGCGAAAGCGUGGGGAGCAAACA